CUGGAUGGUGCCUCUCAAACAAAAGUCCAAUUCCCAUGGGAUGCCUUCUCCAAACAGCUAUAUUUCUAGCUUCUCUCCUUCCCCUUUUAGACCUAGGACUGCCAAAGCUUCCCUAUUGCUGCUAGUCAUGGAGUACUGCACUACCGCCUGUAGUUUCCCUUCACUCUAUCCACGCAUUUCAUGAACUCUCUUCAAAUUACUCCAUAUGGGUAGCCAUCGACUUCUUACCAAGGCCCUGACUGAGACACUUUCAUUCUUUUAAAAAUAUCCGAGUCAACUAAUAUAUUAAAAUAGACCAGCAUCUCUUCUCAA
Molecule: long non-coding RNA, 312 nt
Organism: Homo sapiens (human)
Lineage: Eukaryota; Metazoa; Chordata; Mammalia; Primates; Hominidae
Source: Ensembl